AUACUGGCUUAGCAGUACGUAUUCUAAAAUUGGAAUGAUACAGAGAUCAGUGUGGCCCCUGUGUGAGGAUGACACACAAAUUUGUGAAGCGUUCCAUGAAAAA
Molecule: small nuclear RNA, 103 nt
Organism: Lemur catta (Ring-tailed lemur)
Lineage: Eukaryota; Metazoa; Chordata; Mammalia; Primates; Lemuridae
Source: RefSeq, a predicted model, not a curated record